AGAGGCUGGCCAUGGUGAAUUC
RNAcentral lists this microRNA (22 nucleotides) under Oryctolagus cuniculus (rabbit). Lineage: Eukaryota; Metazoa; Chordata; Mammalia; Lagomorpha; Leporidae. The record is from RNAcentral.